AAGUCGUAACAAGGUUUCCGUAGGUGAACCUGCGGAAGGAUCAUUAUUGAAGCUCGGAAUGCAUGUCCGGUGUUGAUGCUGCCCAGCAAUGGGAUGUGCUCGCUCGGAUGUGUGUCCCUUCUCUAUUCCACCCCUUUGUGAACCAAGUGUGCGAGCCGAAGAGAGAUCGGAAGCUCGCAUGCAAACCCUUAACAUACCCCAAUGAAGUAUCAGAAUGUAACUUGCGUUAACUCGCACAAAUAUAACUUUCAACAACGGAUCUCUUGGCUCUC
This 272-nucleotide unclassified non-coding RNA is filed under the name Peniophora incarnata. RNAcentral describes it as "partial internal transcribed spacer region". The stretch from base 1 to 46 matches the Rfam family "Eukaryotic small subunit ribosomal RNA", at positions 1786 to 1831 of the family's 1831-position model. The record is from RNAcentral. Lineage: Eukaryota; Fungi; Basidiomycota; Agaricomycetes; Russulales; Peniophoraceae.